Molecule: ribosomal RNA, 393 nt
Filed under: uncultured bacterium
Lineage: Bacteria
Description: partial 16S ribosomal RNA
Rfam family: Bacterial small subunit ribosomal RNA
Source: RNAcentral
AUACGGAGGAUCCGAGCGUUAUCCGGAUUUAUUGGGUUUAAAGGGUGCGUAGGCGGACGAUUAAGUCAGCUGUGAAAUGCCCGCGCUUAACGCGGGAAGUGCAGUUGAUACUGGUUGUCUGGAGUGCCGUUGCCGUGGGGGGAAUGUGUAGGGUAGCGGUGAAAUGCAUAGAUAUGACGAAGAACACCGAUUGCGUAGGCAGCUGACCAGACCGCAAAUGACGCUCAUGCACGAAAGUGCGGGGAUCGAACAGGAUUAGAUACCCUGGUAGUCCGCACAGUAAACGAUGAAUACUUGUUUUCGGCGAUAUAAUGUCGGAGGCAAAGCGAAAGCGAUAAGUAUUCCACCUGGGGAGUACGCCGGCAACGGUGAAACUUAAAGGAAUUGGCGGGG